CCGUCACACCAUGGAAGUUGGCCAUGCCCGAAGUCGUUACCCUAACCGUUCGCGGAGGGGGGUGCCGAAGGCAGGGCUGAUGACUGGGGUGAAGUCGUAACAAGGUAGCCGUACCGGAAGGUGUGGCUGGAUCACCUCCUUUAAGGGAGACCUACCAAUUCUACUCUGAACAAUAUUAAUUAGGAGAGAGUUUGGUCACUCUAGGUCGAACAGGAUUUUUGAAUCUCAAGCUAUUGUUUAGGUUUAAUGUUUAUUAUCUGAUUUUAAUUUUGAUUAGUUAGGAUUGGGUAGUAAGGAUUGGGGCUAUUAGCUCAGGUGGUUAGAGCGCACCCCUGAUAAGGGUGAGGUCCCUGGUUCGAGUCCAGGAUGGCCCACUGGGAUGGGGGUAUAGCUCAGUUGGUAGAGCGCCUGCUUUGCAAGCAGGAUGUCAGCGGUUCGAGUCCGCUUACCUCCACCAAAUUAGAUAGAUUAUGAUUUCAGCACCCUGUGUAUUGACGAGUGUCAAAGACUUAGGCUGCUGGGUUUAUAGCCUAGCGAGAACCUUGACAACUGCAUAGAUUAGUCGAAUAGGUAGUUCGACACAGAGAACCAUUAGUAGAAAGACUGAGAG
RNAcentral lists this unclassified non-coding RNA (610 nucleotides) under Leptothoe spongobia TAU-MAC 1015. Its description in RNAcentral is "partial contains 16S ribosomal RNA, 16S-23S ribosomal RNA intergenic spacer, and 23S ribosomal RNA". The stretch from base 1 to 142 matches the Rfam family "Bacterial small subunit ribosomal RNA", at positions 1394 to 1533 of the family's 1533-position model. Lineage: Bacteria; Bacillati; Cyanobacteriota; Cyanophyceae; Nodosilineales; Cymatolegaceae. The record is from RNAcentral.